CUACGGGAUGCAGCAGUGGGGAAUAUUGGACAAUGGGGGAAACCCUGAUCCAGCAAUGCCGCGUGUGUGAAGAAGGCUUGCGGGUUGUAAAGCACUUUCGGUUGGGAGGACUGCUUCUAGCACUAAUAUUGUUGGAAGUUGACGUUACCUUCAGAAGAAGCACCGGCUAACUCCGUGCCAGCAGACGCGGUAAUAGCGGAGGGUGCAAGCGUUAAUCGGAAUUACUGGGCGUAAAGCGCGCGUAGGCGGCUAGAUCAGUCGGGUGUGAAAGCCCCGGGCUUAACCUGGGAACUGCAUCCGAUACUGUCUAGCUUGAGUACAGGAGAGGAGAGUGGAAUUCCACAUGUAGCGGUGAAAUGCGUAGAUAUGUGGAGGAACACCAAUGGCGAAGGCAGCUCUCUGGCCUGAUACUGACGCUGAGGUGCGAAAGCGUGGGGAGCAAACAGGAUUAGAUACCCGUGUAGUC
Molecule: ribosomal RNA, 466 nt
Filed under: uncultured bacterium
Lineage: Bacteria
Description: partial 16S ribosomal RNA
Rfam family: Bacterial small subunit ribosomal RNA
Source: RNAcentral